GUUACUUUCAUUCAACUCACAGUCUCCAUCAUCGUUCCAGUUUCACCGCGAUCUCUCUCUCCCUCUCUCAGACUCACCGCCAAAUCUCCACCGUGGUUGAUUUGUUGUCUCACAUUUUUCGAAUCCUUAUAGCUGUUCACUUUCUCAAGAUUCAUCUCUUAUAACCUAUGGGCUUUAUCUCCGGAGAUGAUUUCUCCAUUGCUGGCAAUCCGUCCGUCUCUCUCUCUCUCUCCCUCAAUUUCACACUCGUCGCAACAUUCAAUUUCAAAUCCUUAUAGAAUUUAUGGGCUUUAUUUCAUAAGAUAGAUUGCUCCUUGACGAAAUCCUAGAGUCCUCCUUCCUCUUUGGGACAAUUUAUUUCUCUCAAUCUUCUCAUUAGUCUUAAAAUGUUGGGCCUUUUCUGCUCAAGUAUGUGUAUGGCUUUUUCUGAAAUUAGAAAGGAUUUUGGGCAAAUUCAAUAGUUUUGGUAAGUUUCUGUUGAUAAUUGCAGAUGGCCAGGUAUAUAUUUUGCCUUGUUUCAUUUUUUUAAUUAUGCAGAGAGUAAUUUUAUUGACACAUAGCUGGGAUUAAGAAAUAGGCUGCUCAAGUGACUAUUGGUUUGGCACAGAUUUGCAUUCUCGUUGAAAUCUUUUUUUUUUUUUUUUAAUGUAAAUGAGAGUAUAAGAGGAAGUUUUGAUGAAAAUAUUUAACAAAAAAAAAACUGCAAGGUGUGUAUUAACUACAUAGAUAUGUGUGAAUAAAAUUUCUCUUAUGCAAAUAGAGUGCCAACUUGUUUCAUUUUGACUAAAAUGCUUGGAUUUGAAUCUACCCUUAAUUGAUAUGCAAAACUGCAAUGGUUGGAGAGUGAACCUAAUGUGACAAUCCUGUGUAAAGAUUGCAUUGAUGGGUUUCUUGGUUCAAUUGAGAAAGACGUAUCUAAUGUGUUUGUAAAUUGGGUUAAGAGCAAUCAGAUCAAAACUUUCUUUUAAUUAGAUAGCUCAAAUGUUGGGGAAAGAAGAAAGAGAAACAAUAGCUCAUAGUGGUUACAAGCAAUAAUCCAGGUUGCCAUUAGCGUCAUCUUUGUUGCCG
Molecule: long non-coding RNA, 1068 nt
Filed under: Rosa chinensis
Lineage: Eukaryota; Viridiplantae; Streptophyta; Magnoliopsida; Rosales; Rosaceae
Description: sRNA RchiOBHm_Chr5g0013431
Source: RNAcentral